This 584-nucleotide ribosomal RNA is filed under the name uncultured bacterium. RNAcentral's name for it is "bacterial SSU rRNA". It matches the Rfam family "Bacterial small subunit ribosomal RNA", at positions 153 to 731 of the family's 1533-position model. The record is from RNAcentral.
GAAAGGAAUGCUAAUACCGCAUACGCCCUACGGGGGAAAGCAGGGGAUCUUCGGACCUUGCGCUAAUAGAUGAGCCUAAGUCAGAUUAGCUAGUUGGUGGGGUAAAGGCCUACCAAGGCGACGAUCUGUAGCGGGUCUGAGAGGAUGAUCCGCCACACUGGGACUGAGACACGGCCCAGACUCCUACGGGAGGCAGCAGUGGGGAAUAUUGGACAAUGGGCGAAAGCCUGAUCCAGCCAUGCCGCGCGUGUGAAGAAGGCCUUUUGGUUGUAAAGCACUUUAAGCGAGGAGGAGGCUACUGAGAUUAAUACUCUUGGAUAGUGGACGUUACUCGCAGAAUAAGCACCGGCUAACUCUGUGCCAGCAGCCGCGGUAAUACAGAGGGUGCGAGCGUUAAUCGGAUUUACUGGGCGUAAAGCGUGCGUAGGCGGCUUUUUAAGUCGGAUGUGAAAUCCCUGAGCUUAACUUAGGAAUUGCAUUCGAUACUGGGAAGCUAGAGUAUGGGAGAGGAUGGUAGAAUUCCAGGUGUAUCGGUGAAAUGCUUAUAGAUCUGGAGGAAUACCGAUGGCGAAGGCAGCCAUCUG